GACGAACGCUGGCGGCGUGCUUAACACAUGCAAGUCGAACGGAAAGGCCCUGCUUUUGUGGGGAGCUCGAGUGGCGAACGGGUGGGUAACAAGUGAGUAAGCUGCCCUUGACUCUGGGAUAACAACAGGAAACUGGGGCUGAUACCAGAUAGGAGCUCCUGCUGCGUGGUGGGGGUUGGAAAGUUUCGGCGGUUGGGGAUGGACUCGCGGCUUAUCAGCUUGUUGGGGGGGUAGUGGCUUACCACGGCUUUGACGGGUAGCCGGCCUGAGAGGGUGACCGGCCACAAUGGGACUGAGAGACGUCCCAGACUCCUACGGGAGGCAGCAGUGGGGAAUAUUGCACAAUGGGCGGAAGCCAGAUGCAGCAACGCCGCGUGCGGGAUGACGUCCUUCGGGUUGUAAACCGCUUUCGCCUGUGACGAAGCGUGAGUGACGGUAAUGGGUAAAGAAGCACCGGCUAACUACGUG
Molecule: ribosomal RNA, 468 nt
Filed under: uncultured bacterium
Lineage: Bacteria
Description: partial 16S ribosomal RNA
Rfam family: Bacterial small subunit ribosomal RNA
Source: RNAcentral